Molecule: ribosomal RNA, 472 nt
Filed under: uncultured Methanosaeta sp.
Lineage: Archaea; Methanobacteriati; Methanobacteriota; Methanomicrobia; Methanotrichales; Methanotrichaceae
Description: bacterial SSU rRNA
Rfam family: Archaeal small subunit ribosomal RNA
Source: RNAcentral
UUGACGGGGAGCACUACAACGGGUGGAGCCUGCGGUUUAAUUGGAUUCAACGCCGGAAAUCUCACCGGGGCGACAGCAAUAUGAAGGUCAGGCUGAAGACCUUACCGGAUUAGCUGAGAGGUGGUGCAUGGCCGUCGUCAGUUCGUACUGUGAAGCAUCCUGUUAAGUCAGGCAACGAGCGAGACCCACGCCCACAGUUGCCAGCGUACUCUCUGGAGUGACGGGUACACUGUGGGGACCGCCGCUGCUAAAGCGGAGGAAGGAAUGGGCAACGGUAGGUCAGUAUGCCCCGAAUAUCCCGGGCUACACGCGAGCUACAAUGGUUGGUACAAUGGGUAUCUACCCCGAAAGGGGACGGGAAUCUCCUAAAACCAAUCUUAGUUCGGAUUGAGGGCUGCAACUCGCCCUCAUGAAGCUGGAAUCCGUAGUAAUCGCGUUUCAACAGAACGCGGUGAAUACGUCCCUGCUCCUU